RNAcentral lists this ribosomal RNA (368 nucleotides) under uncultured organism. Its description in RNAcentral is "bacterial SSU rRNA". It matches the Rfam family "Bacterial small subunit ribosomal RNA", at positions 526 to 896 of the family's 1533-position model. The record is from RNAcentral.
CGUAGGGCGCAAGCGUUGUCCGGAUUCACUGGGUGUAAAGGGUGCGUAGGCGGGAAGGUAAGUCCGCGGUGAAAUCUCACAGCUCAACUGUGAAACUGCCGUUGAUACUGCUUUUCUUGAGUUCGGGAGAGGUUGAUGGAAUUCCAGGUGUAGCGGUGAAAUGCGUAGAUAUCUGGAAGAACACCAGUGGCGAAGGCGGUCAACUGGCCCGUAACUGACGCUGAGGCACGAAAGCGUGGGUAGCGAACAGGAUUAGAUACCCUGGUAGUCCACGCCCUAAACGAUGAAUACUUGGUGUUGGUCCGUAAGGAUCAGUGCCGAAGGAAACCUGAUAAGUAUUCCACCUGGGGAGUACGCUCGCAAGGGUG